CUCCCGGCUCCCGCGGGCCCCCACCUGCCCUUCUUGCCCUGGCGCCGCCUCCAGCCCAGCCCGUUUCUUGCAGAUUUUAGCUUCUCCCUUGCCUGCCGCCUUUCCCGUUUCGGCUCGGUGAAGCUACCUAUGGGUUGCUGUUCAUUUAACAAACGGUGAUCCGGAUAAACAUGUUCACUUCUUCGCCUGGGCAAACUUUCCAGCCCCCGACCCACUCAUGUCACGAUACCUUCCCGUGUCCAAGUCCGGCUCUCUGCUCCCCACUUUUUUUUUUUUUUUUUUUUGAGACAGAGUGUUUCUCUGUCUCCCAGGCUGGAGUGCAGUGGCGCGAUCUCAACUCACAGUACCCCCUGCCUCCCGGGUUCAAACGAUUUUCUUGCCUCAGCCUCCUGAGUAGCUGGGAUUACAGGCGCGCGCCACCACAGCCGGCUAAUUUUUAUGUUUUAGUAGAGACAGGGUUUCACCAUGUUGGCCAGGAUGGUCUCCAUCUCUUGACCUCGUGAUCCGCCCGCCUCGGCCUCUCAAGGUGCUGGGAUUACAGGUGUGAGCCGCCGCGCCCGGCCUCUUUGCUCUUUUAUACUCUCAGAAGCAAUGAGUUCUGGUUAAAAAAAAGGGCUCGAUAGACGGAAAAAAUGAAGGCUUAAAGAACUGACAACAAAAUAUUAACAUUUGGCUUGUGGAAUUCUUACACUCUCGUAAGCAGAAAAAACAAAUGUUAUGGCAAAAAAGUGUCUCAGACAAAUCCGUCUUGGGGGGAAAAAAAUUAAAAGAAUGAGAAAAACAGACUUCGGAAUAAAUAGACCCAAAGGAGGAAGUAUUGAAAAUGGCAAGAUUCACUUUUACAAACUUAUUUGGAACCACGGCAGAUGGCCAGGGCAGGGAUUUUGCAAGGCAGCUCCAGUUGUAAGUAAAACCUGAAACAAUGGUUUAUUUCCACUCUCAUUGAAAGUGCUGUCUUAUUUUUACAGGAAAGAGUGAUGAUGGGAAUAUUAGGCUUUAAUUCGAGAUCUGAGCUGGUUAAAAAUAAAAACGUUUAUUAUUCCAGAAAAAUCUACGUCAGUGUUUUUAAAUGUUCUGAUUUGAAAAAAUAUUUGUAUAUUUUAUCUGAAUAUUAGUUAUUAUCAAAUGAUGUAAAAGAAAUUUGUAAAGGCUGUACCAUAAUUGUAACAAUAAGGUUUUUCUGUAGAGCAGAGGUAUAGAAAAAUUAACAUUUUUUAAAGUCCUGCAUAUUUUUAAAACAGUGAUAUUUAUGUUUUUCCUUGCAAAACAAUUUUAAGAAACCUUUAAAUUGUUAAUAGUUUACAUGCUUAUAAAAUGUUUUAUAUAUAUCAUUUCUAAAAAUCGUAAUUUUUUUAAGUGAGUUUCUAGGUAUACCUUAUGGGAGUGUUUCACAGGUACAUGUCAUCUGUUAUUUUUUGGAGUGGAAAUGGGUAAGAAGCAUACACCAAAUGUAUCAAAUGUUUUUACUAUAGAUACUUUUGCCUCUGAAAGAUGGCAUUGUAGAAUAUAGUCUUCUCAUCGUAUUGUUCAGUAUACUUUCUCUUGAAAUCUCAGGUAUUCAAAAAAAAAAGUCGUUGUUUUGCUAGAUGCAGGAAAAAAGUAAACGCAGUGAACAAAAGAUGGCCAACAGUAAAGGUACCCAAGCAAGGAUCACAGUCUCAAGGAAUGUCAAGUAGAAAUUUGUGGGAAAAUACCACUCACGUUCAGUCAACUUUCUGUAACAAACUGGAAUUUGACCUAGACAGGAAGUGAGAAGCUAGGGCCAAAAGUGUUGUUAUUAAAGAGAGGAUCUGCUUUUUUAAAGAAAAUAAAACCCUGGACCUUGGAGGUUUAGCACUGGAAGCACUGAGGCCCUCCACUAUGGCCCUUGGGCUUUCAGUUCCCCCUUGUGAUUCUUUCUCUUUGAUAUCUGCUGCCCAUAGCAAUCUGGCUUCCAGAGCCCUCUAUGUCAAUACACACAUCUCUUCCCUUGGUCCUGCUUAGCAAGCUAAGAAAAGCUGAAUUAAGACAAAACAGAGUACUUAAUGUAUGGGGAAAAUAAAAGUGAAAGAAAUAUAAUUCCUAAUAUUUCCUGAGUAUUGAUUCUGUGCCAAGCAUUGCAUUAUUUCCUUGAAUUCUUGCAACUAGAUAAGAACUGUUACUAUCCCCAUUUUAAACACAAGGUAAGUAGGUUAAGUGCCCAUGUCACACAGCUGCUGAGUAACACAGUCAAGAUUCCAGACUUCAUACUUCAGAACCCACAGCCAUAACCACUAAUCUGUCUCAAGUUUCAUACAACCAGGCACAAAUUAUGCAAGAAACAGAGGGACUUAGGAAGUCCAAAAUAUGGACUUAGCUCUAAAAUACUGACCACAGUGUAUGGGUAUCUUCUUCACUGUUUUCCAUCCCAUCUUUGCAUGACUGCUUUUAUUUGAUUUUUUAAGGUGGUCAUCAUGACCCAGUAAGUUGAUUUUGUGAUCGGUUAAAGGGUAGCUACUCAGAAAAACACUAAUCAGAAUCCAAAAUACAAAAUAUCAGAUUGUAUCACAUGUAAUAAGGGUAUUUUUUUCCCAACACAAAUUAGGGGAAACUUUCAGCCACAUGUGUGUAUUCUGGGUUGCAACGUUAAAUGUAUUUCAUACUAUGGAUUUCAAUCAAAAAAAAUUUGAAAAACACUAUUAUAACCACGCCUUGCCUAACUAACAUGCAUCAUUUAUCCUUCAGGAUCAAGACCAAGGGAAACAAAAUCCCAUUCUGCAAUCCCCUUACAUUCCUCUCUUAAGUCCCAGGAUCUGGUUUGAUGAUCUCUUCCCAGGAGCAGUUGAUUUCUCACCGCCCACCCCCGACCCCACCACUAUUGAUCAUGAGGUGCUUUGAGGGGUCCGGGUUUGGAGGACUGAAACACCGUGGGAUCUUGGAACAGCUCUUCCUUGUUGGUGAUCCCUUAUUAAGAAGCCCUCCAGCCUGACAAUGCUGAAGCCCUGGAGGUUGGAGCCACUCAGGAAGAAGCUCAGCCCUGGAAAAGCAAAAACCCAUUGGAUCCAGAGGUGCCUGAGUUGGAGAUGAACUUUGGAACUUCCCUCAUAACCGUACUAAAAUCCCUGACCAGAGAGUAACUUAUUUGCCAUUUUCUAUACAUGUGACAUAUGUAGAAGCAUGAUCAAUGACAGCACAUGUGCUAUUAAUAUCUUGCUCCAUCUCGACAUACAGUGACUCAGCUCACCAGGCCAACAAAAGGCCUGUUUUCACCUUUGAUUGGAGGAGGCACUCCUUUGAGAACUAUCCCCCAUGUCCUCCUCAUUUGUUGCCACUAAUAAAAUCCCUUUAAGUCCCCAUUGCUUAAGUCCCCAUUGGUUGUGGUCACUGGACUGCCACCUGCCAUGUGAUGGCACUGACCCGUUGUAUGGGUAACAAAACUUAUACAGUGUAUCACUGUCCUGGAUACUGCAGGCAAUUGGAAUGCAAUGCUAAGCAUUUGCAUAACUAAACAUAGAAAAGGUACAGUAGGACUAGGUGUGAUGGCUCACACCUGUAGUCCC
Homo sapiens (human) is the source of this 3518-nucleotide long non-coding RNA. RefSeq lists it as uncharacterized. The transcript has 3 exons. The record is from RefSeq and is a predicted model, not a curated record. Lineage: Eukaryota; Metazoa; Chordata; Mammalia; Primates; Hominidae.